This 22-nucleotide small nuclear RNA is filed under the name Arabidopsis thaliana (thale cress). Its description in RNAcentral is "snRNA_14382". Lineage: Eukaryota; Viridiplantae; Streptophyta; Magnoliopsida; Brassicales; Brassicaceae. The record is from RNAcentral.
AUAGAUACAAUUUAUAAACUUU